RNAcentral lists this ribosomal RNA (491 nucleotides) under uncultured Hymenobacter sp. RNAcentral's name for it is "partial 16S ribosomal RNA". Lineage: Bacteria; Pseudomonadati; Bacteroidota; Cytophagia; Cytophagales; Hymenobacteraceae. The record is from RNAcentral.
CACGGAGUUAGCCGGUGCUUAUUCCUCAGGUACCGUCAGUGUGGUACGCAUACCCUUUUUCUUCCCUGAGAAAAGCCGUUUACAACCCAGAAGGCCUUCAUCCGGCACGCGGCAUGGCUGGGUCAGGCUCUCGCCCAUUGCCCAAUAUUCCCUACUGCUGCCUCCCGUAGGAGUCUGGCCCGUAUCUCAGUGCCAGUGUGGGGGAUCAGCCUCUCAGCUCCCCUAGACAUCGUCGCCUUGGUGGGCCGUUACCCCGCCAACUAGCUAAUGUCACGCAACCCCAUCCUUGACCAAUAAAUCUUUACUAGUUACCCGAUGCCGGGCUGCUAGUUUAUGCGGUAUUAAUCCGCCUUUCGGCGGGCUAUCCCCCAGUCAAGGGCAGGUUGGUUACGCGUUACGCACCCGUGCGCCACUAGUGUAUUGCUACACCCGUUCGACUUGCAUGUAUUAGGCCUGCCGCUAGCGUUCAUCCUGAGCCAGGAUCAAACUCU